RNAcentral lists this transfer RNA (84 nucleotides) under Methanobrevibacter sp. RNAcentral's name for it is "tRNA-Leu". It matches the Rfam family "tRNA". Rfam says of the family: Transfer RNA (tRNA) molecules are approximately 80 nucleotides in length. Their secondary structure includes four short double-helical elements and three loops (D, anti-codon, and T loops). The record is from RNAcentral. RNAcentral also lists the same sequence under 2 other names. Lineage: Archaea; Methanobacteriati; Methanobacteriota; Methanobacteria; Methanobacteriales; Methanobacteriaceae.
GCAGGGGUGGUCGAGCGGUCAAAGGCACUGGGCUCAAAACCCAGCGGGUUAGUCCCUUCGCGGGUUCGAUUCCCGUCCCCUGCA